Non-coding RNA from Pseudonaja textilis, 166 nucleotides. Lineage: Eukaryota; Metazoa; Chordata; Lepidosauria; Squamata; Elapidae. The record is from RefSeq and is a predicted model, not a curated record.
GAGACAAUUUGAGGAAAAGGUCAUUUUUUAUAAUUCAAAAAGAACCAGUAAUAAGGCUUAUACACUUUGCUUCCUUUAAUUUAUAAGAUUUUCACAGUACUAGCAUUCACAUCUACUUUACCAAAGGUAUAAUAUACAUACAAUAUAUUUAUAUAUGUAUAUGUAU